This 188-nucleotide non-coding RNA is filed under the name Spiroplasma melliferum. The record is from RNAcentral. Lineage: Bacteria; Bacillati; Mycoplasmatota; Mollicutes; Entomoplasmatales; Spiroplasmataceae.
GCUUUCAUUUGAAUUAAUGGUAAACAUUAAAAAUGUUUUGAAAAGGGAAUUGAGUGUAAAUCUUGAGCUGUCCCAGCAACUGUAAUGAUGAUGAACAUUGUAUUUACUCACUGAAAAAAUUUUUUUGGGAAGAGACAAUUAGUAAAACGAUUCUAAGCCAGUAGACCUGCCGUUAACUCCUGACGAAA